GGGAUUUUCAUCUUCCUCUUGCCACAUGGGUCACAGAUCACUUGCUGGUUUGAACUAGAAUAAAUGAUGUAAAGACUUCAGUUUACAGAGAAUCCAAGCUUUGAGGACUUCAGUAACUCAGCCAGAAGUUAUGGGCCUAUUCCACAUGUGAGUGAGUGAGGUUCUGUGGCCUAAAAUGUGCAAGAGGUCAAACUAGAUGAGCAUAAUGGUCACUUCUGGCCUUAAAGCCUGUGCAUAUUAUCUUCAUUUUACAGAUGGGAGAACUGAAGCGCUAAGUCCUAGAUCCUCAAGGUUAUUUAGGAGUCUGAGAGCUUAAGUGACUUAGCCAAUGCUUUGGAAGAGCAGUGAAUCAGCAAGUUCUCCAUUCUCAGCCCGGUGUUAAUACCAAUAGGUCACGUCUUUUUCUCUCAAUUAUUUAUCGGUUCUCAUCAGUACCUGUUCAGGAGGCUGUUUCAUUUAUUUGUCAAAUUGUAUUUGGAAUAUUUUUAGCACUUAAAAUCAUAAAAUGCCCUACAAUCCUUCCUUUAAAAAGCUAUAUGAUCUGAUUUGGUUGAUGCCUGCCACAAUGAAGAAAAGCGUUUUCUUGCUUCUCCUUGUGAAGCACUUUGAGAUCUACUGAUGACAAAUGCUAUUUAGGAGUUAGUUAUUAUUUUGUUUGAUCUUUCAGGUAUCUUCAGUCAAAAAAAAUCAAGCUCCUGGCUCACUUUAUAAGGGUAAGAGCUUAUCUUCAGGCUUCUAACCAGAUUUCCAUUUGGGUGAUAUUACAUAUUCUUUGCAUACAGUAUUCUUCUCAUCCUGGCCUAUCUGAUUAUGUAAUGCUACUAACCAGUCACCCCCUUCUGCCUUGCAGAUGGCAGUGCCUCAUGGCUGGGCAAAGAAAUUUGCUGGUGCAAUUGAUAACCUACGCAACGAACUUUGAAAUUCAGCAGGUUCCUUCCAAACUUCCCAGGCUCCAUGACAUCUUGCUUUCCCAGGUACGUUUGCUUAUUUUUUCAGUAAUUAGCAUGAAGCCAUGCUGUGCAGUGAAAUUUCAGCUUCUGCUAAAGUAUGGUUAUAUCUAUUUCUAUAUUCUCUGGGCCUAAUUCUGAUCUCAUUCACAAAGGUAUGAAUAAGGAACUAACACCAUAGAUGUCCAUGAUGUCACACCAACGUAAAAGUGGUUUAUGAAAGAUUGGGCCCAGCACAGUGGUAUUGUGGUGAAAUGUAAUGGUCUGUGAUACACAGCCAGUCAGAAUAGCUAUUCUAAUGGUGCCUUCUGGAUUAAAACCUCUAUGGCUGUGUCUAUAUUGCAGUGCAGCCCAACUCAGACUCAAAAAAAUAGUAAUUGGAGAUAUACUUAUCUCCUAGACCUGGAAGGAAUCUUGAAAAGUCAUGGAGUCCAGCCCCCUGCCUUCACUAGCAGGACCAAAUACUGACUUUUGCCCCAGAUCCCUAAGUGGCCUCCUCAAGAAUUGAACUCACAGUGCUGGUUUUAGGAGGUUAAUGCUCAAACCCCUUCAAGCCUAAACCCCCUUCUGUCUACAAACAAAUCUUGCUCAACUGGAACUUGGACCAAAAGUCCCAGGACCUCCUAGGUGGAGGGUCUGAGCCUCAGACAAGUCAGCCCUUUUGCUCUGCAGUGUAGAUGCAACCCCACUGGACUCAUGCUCUGGGAAUCUGCCAAAAGUAUCCCACAAUCCCAUGGACCAAUUUUCUUUGUCCCCCAUAUAGUCAAGUUCGGUGAACAAUCAAGUUUUCCCACACUGCACUUCAAACAAAGGAUUUAGGGCAGUCAUAUUUUGGGAUGGUGCUGUAAGGCAUAUGGGUGGCUGGACUCGGGCCCUCAGAAUGCAGUGUAGACACUGGAGCCCCAGGGUUGAACAAUUACUAACCUGGAAUUACGAACAAGUAUAACAGAUGUUCAAGCCUAGCUUAAACUCGGGAUCUGCUAACAUGAGUUCUACUAACCCUGGACUUACAUUGCAGUGUAGACAUACCCUGUCAAACUAUGAGAUCAGAAUCAGACCUUCAGCAUCUAGUUCUUUCAGACCUAUGCUGUAUUGUUCCAAGAUCAAGUUAAAACUAACUUGGGGCUGGGAUUGUCACUUGCUGUGUGUUGGGUACAAUGUCCAGCCCAAUGGGGUCUUGAACCUGAUUGGGAUCACUACAUGAGACAACAAUACAAAUAAUGAUAAUAAUCUUUAUUAUUAGCUGCCUCCCUAAUGGAGAAUAUUCUGACCCUUAUACUUUCUUGCAGACCUGGGUGAACUAUUUGGAGUGGCCAGUUAAUUUUAAAAUAAUCAACCAAUAAAUAAAGGCCUCAUCUUCUGAUCACAAAUAGUGAAAAACAUUUGAACUUCAUUCAUUUCUCAAGUCUAUCCAGUGAACGGUUUAUGUGAACAAAUUAUUAACCAACACUAAUAUUAGUAUAUGCAAAUUUUAUGAAGUAUUAAUAUUAUUAUAUGCAAAUCUCAUGAAUU
This is a long non-coding RNA of Gopherus evgoodei (Goodes thornscrub tortoise), 2459 nucleotides long. Lineage: Eukaryota; Metazoa; Chordata; Testudines; Testudinidae. The record is from Ensembl.